AAUGAAUUGCCUGAUUAAAAGGGUUACCUUGAUAGGGUAAAUUAUAAAGCGUUGCUUUAUUCAUUA
This 66-nucleotide transfer RNA is filed under the name Tripteroides tasmaniensis. RNAcentral's name for it is "tRNA-Ile". The record is from RNAcentral. Lineage: Eukaryota; Metazoa; Arthropoda; Insecta; Diptera; Culicidae.